This 484-nucleotide ribosomal RNA is filed under the name uncultured bacterium. Its description in RNAcentral is "partial 16S ribosomal RNA". It matches the Rfam family "Bacterial small subunit ribosomal RNA", at positions 30 to 507 of the family's 1533-position model. The record is from RNAcentral.
AUUGAACGCUGGCGGAAUGCUUUACACAUGCAAGUCGAACGGCAGCACGGGGGCAACCCUGGUGGCGAGUGGCGAACGGGUGAGUAAUACAUCGGAACGUGCCCGGUCGUGGGGGAUAACGUAGCGAAAGUUACGCUAAUACCGCAUACGAUCUGAGGAUGAAAGCGGGGGACCUUCGGGCCUCGCGCGAUCGGAGCGGCCGAUGUCAGAUUAGGUAGCUGGUGGGGUAAAGGCCUACCAAGCCGACGAUCUGUAGCUGGUCUGAGAGGACGACCAGCCACACUGGGACUGAGACACGGCCCAGACUCCUACGGGAGGCAGCAGUGGGGAAUUUUGGACAAUGGGCGCAAGCCUGAUCCAGCCAUUCCGCGUGCAGGACGAAGGCCUUCGGGUUGUAAACUGCUUUUGUAUGGAACGAAAAGGCUCUGGCUAAUACCUGGGGCUCAUGACGGUACCGUAAGAAUAAGCACCGGCUAACUACGUG